RNAcentral lists this ribosomal RNA (253 nucleotides) under uncultured bacterium. RNAcentral's name for it is "partial 16S ribosomal RNA". It matches the Rfam family "Bacterial small subunit ribosomal RNA", at positions 524 to 776 of the family's 1533-position model. The record is from RNAcentral.
UACGUAGGGACCGAGCGUUGUCCGGAAUCAUUGGGCGUAAAGCGCACGUAGGCGGCUUAGCAAGUCGGAUGUGAAAUCCCUCGGCUCAACCAAGGAAGUGCAUCCGAAACUGCUGAGCUUGAGUACUUAAGAGGAUCGCGGAAUUCCCGGUGUAGAGGUGAAAUUCGUAGAUAUCGGGAGGAACACCAGUGGCGAAGGCGGCGAUCUGGGAAGAUACUGACGCUGAGGUGCGAAAGCGUGGGGAGCAAACGGG